AUCUGCCCUGCACUCUGGGACAAGCCCUGGAAACGGGGUCUAAUACCGGAUACUGACCCGCUUGGGCAUCCAAGCGGUUCGAAAGCUCCGGCGGUGCAGGAUGAGCCCGCGGCCUAUCAGCUUGUUGGUGAGGUAAUGGCUCACCAAGGCGACGACGGGUAGCCGGCCUGAGAGGGCGACCGGCCACACUGGGACUGAGACACGGCCCAGACUCCUACGGGAGGCAGCAGUGGGGAAUAUUGCACAAUGGGCGAAAGCCUGAUGCAGCGACGCCGCGUGAGGGAUGACGGCCUUCGGGUUGUAAACCUCUUUCAGCAGGGAAGAAGCGAAAGUGACGGUACCUGCAGAAGAAGCGCCGGCUAACUACGUGCCAGCAGCCGCGGUAAUACGUAGGGCGCGAGCGUUGUCCGGAAUUAUUGCGCGUAAAGAGCUCGUAGGCGGCUUGUCACGUCGGUUGUGAAAGCCCGGGGGCUUAACCCCGGGUCUGCAUUCGAUACGGG
RNAcentral lists this ribosomal RNA (500 nucleotides) under Streptomyces albogriseolus. RNAcentral's name for it is "bacterial SSU rRNA". It matches the Rfam family "Bacterial small subunit ribosomal RNA", at positions 124 to 636 of the family's 1533-position model. Lineage: Bacteria; Bacillati; Actinomycetota; Actinomycetes; Kitasatosporales; Streptomycetaceae. The record is from RNAcentral.